This 252-nucleotide long non-coding RNA is filed under the name Olea europaea (common olive). Its description in RNAcentral is "long non-coding RNA (OEUR_LNC000954)". Lineage: Eukaryota; Viridiplantae; Streptophyta; Magnoliopsida; Lamiales; Oleaceae. The record is from RNAcentral.
CAUAGUCACAAUUUUCAACACCACCACCAUCAUUGCCACUGCAGCCAGCAAAACCCAUCCCAAAUCGCAUCUACCUAUUUCCUUAAAUCGCCACAACCAGCACCGCCAAUGUCACCCAUUUCCAUAACCACCACAUUCACCACCACAACCGAGUCAAGCAAUUUAUUGGUCACAGACACUAUUGAUCUACCCGAUCGACGCCGACGUUGCUGCCACCAAUACCAUGCCGCCAUCGCCUGCACCGCAUCCAAC